AUACGUAGGUGACAAGCGUUAUCCGGCUUUACUGGGCGUAAAGGGCGUGUAGGCGGUCUUGCAAGUCAGAAGUGAAAUUCCUGAGCUCAACUCGGGCGCUGCUUCUGAAACUGCAGGACUUGAGUGCUGGAGGGGAUAGCGGAAUUCCUAGUGGAGCGGUAAAAUGCGCAGAUAUUAGGAAGAACACCGGUGGCGAAGGCGGCUAUCUGGACAGUAACUGACGCUGAGGCGCGAAAGCGUGGGGAGCAAACAGGAUUAGAUACCCUGGUAGUCCACGCCGUAAACGAUGAGUACUGGGUGUAGGGGGUAUCGACUCCCUCUGUGCCGCAGUUGACACAAUAAGUAUUCCGCCUGGGGAGUACGGCCGCAAGGUUGAAACUCAAAUGAAUAGGCGGGG
RNAcentral lists this ribosomal RNA (397 nucleotides) under uncultured bacterium. Its description in RNAcentral is "partial 16S ribosomal RNA". It matches the Rfam family "Bacterial small subunit ribosomal RNA", at positions 523 to 918 of the family's 1533-position model. The record is from RNAcentral.